Molecule: long non-coding RNA, 963 nt
Organism: Homo sapiens (human)
Lineage: Eukaryota; Metazoa; Chordata; Mammalia; Primates; Hominidae
Product: long intergenic non-protein coding RNA 2826
Source: Ensembl
AAUGAAAGAAAAGAAAUUGCCCAAAAUCCAAGUUGACAAGAUAAUGCCAUUUACAAAUGGUGCACAAAACCCGCAGAGAUCAUCAACUUAGGGCACCAAGAUUUACACUUUAAUCAUCAGCAAUUUAUCUUACUGAUAACUCAAUCAACUUGGAUAUUUCUCACCAUUGACUUAAGAAAGCAGAGCAGACACUGUGCUGGGGACUUUGAGCAAUGCAGAGGAAUGGAGAAUGCCCCCCAAGAACUUAGAAGAGAUGGACAUUUGCAUUAUUCUCUGUAAUGACUGCACAGUGUGGUGUUAACCUUAGAAGACUAGAACCUAAUGAGUUAUGGCAAACAGAUGUUAUGCACGUCCCUGAAUUUGGAAAACUAAGGUCCUCUUUGGAUUCCAGCACGAGGCAUCAAACCAUACCAUGGCAUGGCUAGGACCCAACCCGGUACCAAAAUGAAGAAAAUGACCCUACAGGACCCACAAUCCCGGAUGAUGUGGCUUCCUUGGAUGACACAGGCCCUGGACAUUACCUGGGGGAUGCUGAAGAAGACAACUCAGGAGGCCAAGCAAAUCCUGCUCCAGGCACAGACACCAUUCACUCCAGGAAGCUGCCAUUCAUUCGACAUAAGUAGGUGCUUCAUCUGAUAAGCGCUGCUUGUGUAAUUUAUCAAUGACAGAGAAGGCAGAUAGCAGCAUGCAUACUUGGGGCUGCAUUUGAAGGAGAGCAACAUCCCUUUGUUUUCACAGAGGAGAACAAGCAUGAGUUGAGAUUGUGGUGCUUCUUGAAGUCUCAUCCAGAUCAGAAACCUGCUGCUCUGUCCACAUUCCAUCCACCAAAGCAACCCAUAUGGCCAUGUCCAGCAUCAGAUGGGGAAAGGCAGUUCUCCUCUAGCACGAGGAGCUGCAAAGCCACAUGGCAAAGGAUGAGUGUGUAAAAAAUAAAUGCAGGAGGGCAGGAGGCAUUGGGAACAA